UUCAGUUUCCUUUCCCCCAUGGCGGCUGUCCUCAGAGGCUGGCGGCUCUGGCGGCUCUUUCCGGAGCAUUCGGAGCAUUCUGUGCAUUGGUAGGAGGGAUUAUGUAAAGGGAAGUCAGCGCAAGGGGCCUGGAAAGUUGGGAGGAACAGACAGUGACCGUGGACAUUCUGGUUAAAUCUGCUUUUAUUGAAAGUUCUGCGGUGACUGCUCAGCCCAGCAUGGCUCCCGUAGGACAUGUGGCAUCCAGACUCUGACUUAGGCUCCUUUUUACUCACAGACAUUUAGAGAAUCCUCAUUAAAGUUACUUAGAGUGAAACAGAGAGACCAUGUUAUAAAAUAAACCUAGUUAAAUACA
Long non-coding RNA from Suricata suricatta (meerkat), 355 nucleotides. RefSeq lists it as uncharacterized. NCBI's taxonomy places the organism in Eukaryota, Metazoa, Chordata, Mammalia, Carnivora, Herpestidae. The record is from RefSeq and is a predicted model, not a curated record. The transcript has 2 exons.